Molecule: small RNA, 965 nt
Filed under: Pongo abelii (Sumatran orangutan)
Lineage: Eukaryota; Metazoa; Chordata; Mammalia; Primates; Hominidae
Description: retained intron
Source: RNAcentral
AUCUCUUAAAAAGAUGCAACCUCAGCGGCACUUCCUCGUAGCGGAGCCUAGUGGCGGGUGUUCGCGUUGAAACGUGCGCGCGACCCGACCUUAAAGGGGGGGAGCAAAGGGAGGACAGAGCCCUUUAAAACGAGGCGGGUGGUGCCUGCCCCUUUAAGGGCGGGGCGCCCGGACGACUGUAUCUGAACCCCAGACUGCCCCGAGUUUCUGUCGCAGGCUGCGAGGAAAGGCUCCUAGGCUGGGUCCGGGUGCUUGGCGGCGGCGGCUUCCUCCCCGCUCGUCCUCCCCGGGCCCAGAGGCACCCCGGCUCCAGUCAUGCUGAGCAGAGUAUGGAAGCACCUGACUACGAAGUGCUAUCCGUGCGAGAACAGCUAUUCCACGAGAGGAUCCGCGAGUGUAUUGCUGGGUUCCCAGCCUCUCAGCCAUUCCGGGGUUUCCUUAGUGAGUGGUCCUCCCAGGGCUUCAGAGGGUACCUGGCUGCUGUUCCUUACGCCCUCCCUGCCACUUAGAGCCACAGCUGAACCUUGCGCACAGAAGUGGACUACUCAAUUCUGGGAUAUCAACACUUCUGUUUGCAACACUGUAUAUCCUCUGCCACAUCUUCCUGACCCGCUUCAAGAAGCCUGCUGAGUUCACCACAGUUUCAUCCUACAAAAUGGGCAUAACAAUGUCUACCUACUCCAUUGUGUGGACCAAAGGAGAUGGUUAAUGUGAAAGCCCUUUGUGAACCUGAAGUGGGCAACUGCUGGAUGAACGUCAUUACGGGCACAGGCUCUGUGUCAUCUCCUCUCCUAGUGCUCCCACAGCCAGGACCAGAGACCUCCCUGAUGACUGGGGAACCUGGUGAUGGUGGCCUUUCUCAUUAUGGGGAGCCUGAGUAUGCUCAGAUUGCAGCUUUCCUUCCCUAGACAUUGUGUAAUUGGGGGUGGGGGCACACUUGCCCCAGUUCCUAGCUCCAGCCUUUC